Molecule: transfer RNA, 74 nt
Filed under: Bacteroidales bacterium
Lineage: Bacteria; Pseudomonadati; Bacteroidota; Bacteroidia; Bacteroidales
Description: tRNA-Pro
Rfam family: tRNA
About the family: Transfer RNA (tRNA) molecules are approximately 80 nucleotides in length. Their secondary structure includes four short double-helical elements and three loops (D, anti-codon, and T loops).
Source: RNAcentral
CGGGAUGUAGCGCAGCCCGGUAGCGCGCCACGUUCGGGACGUGGAGGCCGCGAGUUCGAAUCUCGCCAUCCCGA